CCUACGGGUGGCAGCAGUGAGGAAUAUUGGUCAAUGGACGAGAGUCUGAACCAGCCAGGUAGCGUGAAGGAUGACUGCCCUAUGGGUUGUAAACUUCUUUUAUAUGGGAAUAAAACGUUCCACGUGUGGGAUUUUGUAUGUACCAUAUGAAUAAGGAUCGGCUAACUCCGUGCCAGCAGCCGCGGUAAUACGGAGGAUCCGAGCGUUAUCCGGAUUUAUUGGGUUUAAAGGGAGCGUAGGUGGAUUGUUAAGUCAGUUGUGAAAGUUUGCGGCUCAACCGUAAAAUUGCAGGUGAAACUGGCAGUCUUGAGUACAGUAGAGGUGGGCGGAAUUCGUGGUGUAGCGGUGAAAUGCUUAGAUAUCACGAAGAACUCCGAUUGCGAAGGCAGUUCACUGGACUGCAACUGACACUGAGGCUCGAAAGUGUGGGUAUCAAACAGGAUUAGAUACCCUGGUAGUC
This 460-nucleotide ribosomal RNA is filed under the name uncultured bacterium. RNAcentral's name for it is "partial 16S ribosomal RNA". It matches the Rfam family "Bacterial small subunit ribosomal RNA", at positions 338 to 795 of the family's 1533-position model. The record is from RNAcentral.